AACGAACGCUGGCGGCAUGCCUAACACAUGCAAGUCGAACGAGACCUUCGGGUCUAGUGGCGCACGGGUGCGUAACGCGUGGGAACCUGCCCUUAGGUUCGGAAUAACUCCCCGAAAGGGGUGCUAAUACCGGAUAAUGUCUUCGGACCAAAGAUUUAUCGCCUUUGGAUGGGCCCGCGUUGGAUUAGCUAGUUGGUAGGGUAAAAGCCUACCAAGGCGACGAUCCAUAGCUGGUCUGAGAGGAUGAUCAGCCACACUGGGACUGAGACACGGCCCAGACUCCGACGGGAGGCAGCAGUGGGGAAUAUUGGACAAUGGGCGAAAGCCUGAUCCAGCAGUGCCGCGUGAGUGAUGAAGGCCUUAGGGUUGUAAAGCUCUUUUACCCGGGAUGAUAAUGACAGUACCGGGAGAAUAAGCUCCGGCUAACUCCGUG
RNAcentral lists this ribosomal RNA (433 nucleotides) under uncultured bacterium. RNAcentral describes it as "partial 16S ribosomal RNA". It matches the Rfam family "Bacterial small subunit ribosomal RNA", at positions 29 to 507 of the family's 1533-position model. The record is from RNAcentral.